UAAGUAUAGCUUAAUUAAAGCACUUCGCUUACACCGAAUAGACGUCCACUAACCCGGACUACUUUAA
RNAcentral lists this transfer RNA (67 nucleotides) under Ischnocnema cf. paulodutrai CC-2012. RNAcentral's name for it is "tRNA-Val". Lineage: Eukaryota; Metazoa; Chordata; Amphibia; Anura; Brachycephalidae. The record is from RNAcentral.